GGGAGGAGGAGGAGGAGAGGAGGAGGAGGAGGGGGGUGGCGGGAUGCGAGCAGAGGCGCGCCCAGCCGCCGGGGCCGGGCCGGGCCGGAGAAGGGAGGGGAGGGGAGGGGAGGGGAGGAGAAGGGAGGGGAGGGGGGCACGGCCGGGAGGUGGAGCCGGCUGCGCUGGCGGCUGGGGCGCUCCGCGGCUGCCGGGCACCGGGCGCGCACGGCAGUGGGAGCCCAGCGCCGCCGGGAGCCGCCUGCUCGCCCGGUCCCUCCCCGGCGGGGCCCCGCCGCCGGAGCCCGCUGCAGACGCCGGCAGGUUGACCAGCCUGGGUCCUGGCGCCAGGGACCUGAAGCAAGGAUCCUGA
Molecule: long non-coding RNA, 352 nt
Filed under: Otus sunia (Oriental scops-owl)
Lineage: Eukaryota; Metazoa; Chordata; Aves; Strigiformes; Strigidae
Description: lncRNA (ENSOSUG00000001849.1)
Source: RNAcentral